Molecule: ribosomal RNA, 332 nt
Filed under: uncultured Chloroflexota bacterium
Lineage: Bacteria; Bacillati; Chloroflexota
Description: bacterial SSU rRNA
Rfam family: Bacterial small subunit ribosomal RNA
Source: RNAcentral
CGUUCAGGCGGUUUGGCAAGUCGGGCAUGAAAUCUCUCGGCUCAACCGGGAGAGGUUGUCCGAUACUGUCAGACUGGAGGGCAGUAGAGGGUGGUGGAAUUCCGGGUGUAGUGGUGAAAUGCGUAGAGAUCCGGAGGAACACCAGUGGCGAAAGCGGCCACCUGGACUGCACCUGACGCUGAAACGCGAAAGCUAGGGGAGCGAACGGGAUUAGAAACCCCGGUAGUCCUAGCUAUAAACGAUGUUGACUAGGUGUCGACGGGUUAAAAUCCGCCGGUGCCGGAGCAAACGCAUUAAGUCAACCGCCUGGGGACUACGGCCGCAAGGUUAAA